CAGGUCACUCCUACGGGAGGCAGCAGUGGGGAAUAUUGGACAAUGGGCGCAAGCCUGAUCCAGCCAUGCCGCGUGAGUGAUGAAGGCCUUCGGGUUGUAAAGCUCUUUCACCCACGACGAUGAUGACGGUAGUGGGAGAAGAAGCCCCGGCUAACUUCGUGCCAGCAGCCGCGGUAAUACGAAGGGGGCAAGCGUUGUUCGGAAUGACUGGGCGUAAAGGGCGCGUAGGCGGUUCGUUGCGUCAGAUGUGAAAGCCCCGGGCUCAACCUGGGAACUGCAUUUGAUACGGGCGGGCUUGAAUCCAAGAGAGGGUGGUGGAAUUCCCAGUGUAGAGGUGAAAUUCGUAGAUAUUGGGAAGAACACCAGUGGCGAAGGCGGCCACCUGGCUUGGUAUUGACGCUGAGGCGCGAAAGCGUGGGGAGCAAACAGGAUUAGAUACCCUGGUAGUCCACGCCGUAAACGAUGUGUGCUAGCCGUCGGGCAGCUUGCUGUUCGGUGGCGCAGCUAACGCGAUAAGCACACCGCCUGGGGAGUACGGUCGCAAGAUUAAAACUCAAAGGAAUUGACG
This 568-nucleotide ribosomal RNA is filed under the name uncultured Inquilinus sp. Its description in RNAcentral is "bacterial SSU rRNA". It matches the Rfam family "Bacterial small subunit ribosomal RNA", at positions 329 to 915 of the family's 1533-position model. The record is from RNAcentral. Lineage: Bacteria; Pseudomonadati; Pseudomonadota; Alphaproteobacteria; Rhodospirillales; Rhodospirillaceae.